Molecule: non-coding RNA, 73 nt
Organism: Podarcis lilfordi (Lilford's wall lizard)
Lineage: Eukaryota; Metazoa; Chordata; Lepidosauria; Squamata; Lacertidae
Source: the annotation of a GenBank genome assembly
UGCUGGGAUAGCUCAACUGGUAGAGCAUGAGACUGUAAAUCUCAGGGUUGUGGCACCCCCGCCGGGCUCGCAA